GAUGAACGCUAGCUACAGGCUUAACACAUGCAAGUCGAGGGGCAGCAUGGUCUUAGCUUGCUAAGGCCGAUGGCGACCGGCGCACGGGUGAGUAACACGUAUCCAACCUGCCGUCUACUCUUGGACAGCCUUCUGAAAGGAAGAUUAAUACAAGAUGGCAUCAUGAGUCCACAUGUUCACAUGAUUAAAGGUAUUCCGGUAGACGAUGGGGAUGCGUUCCAUUAGAUAGUAGGCGGGGUAACGGCCCACCUAGUCUUCGGUGGAUAGGGGUUCUGAGAGGAAGGUCCCCCACAUUGGAACUGAGACACGGUCCAAACUCCUACGGGAGGCAGCAGUGAGGAAUAUUGGUCAAUGGGCGAGAGCCUGAACCAGCCAAGUAGCGUGAAGGAUGACUGCCCUAUGGGUUGUAAACUUCUUUUAUAAAGGAAUAAAGUCGGGUAUGGAUACCCGUUUGCAUGUACUUUAUGAAUAAGGAUCGGCUAACUCCGUGCCAGCAGCCGCGGUAAUACGGAGGAUCCGAGCGUUAUCCGGAUUUAUUGGGUUUAAAGGGAGCGUAGAUGGAUGUUUAAGUCAGUUGUGAAAGUUUGCGGCUCAACCGUAAAAUUGCAGUUGAUACUGGAUAUCUUGAGUGCAGUUGAGGCAGGCGGAAUUCGUGGUGUAGCGGUGAAAUGCUUAGAUAUCACGAAGAACUCCGAUUGCGAAGGCAGCCUGCUAAGCUGCAACUGACAUUGAGGCUCGAAAGUGUGGGUAUCAAACAGGAUUAGAUACCCUGGUAGUCCACACGGUAAACGAUGAAUACUCGCUGUUUGCGAUAUACAGCAAGCGGCCAAGCGAAAGCGUUAAGUAUUCCACCUGGGGAGUACGCCGGCAACGGUGAAACUCAAAGGAAUUGACGGGGGCCCGCACAAGCGGAGGAACAUGUGGUUUAAUUCGAUGAUACGCGAGGAACCUUACCCGGGCUUAAAUUGCAGAUGAAUUACGGUGAAAGCCGUAAGCCGCAAGGCAUCUGUGAAGGUGCUGCAUGGUUGUCGUCAGCUCGUGCCGUGAGGUGUCGGCUUAAGUGCCAUAACGAGCGCAACCCUUGUUGUCAGUUACUAACAGGUUCCGCUGAGGACUCUGACAAGACUGCCAUCGUAAGAUGUGAGGAAGGUGGGGAUGACGUCAAAUCAGCACGGCCCUUACGUCCGGGGCUACACACGUGUUACAAUGGGGGGUACAGAGGGCCGCUACCACGCGAGUGGAUGCCAAUCCCAAAAACCUCUCUCAGUUCGGACUGGAGUCUGCAACCCGACUCCACGAAGCUGGAUUCGCUAGUAAUCGCGCAUCAGCCACGGCGCGGUGAAUACGUUCCCGGGCCU
This 1358-nucleotide ribosomal RNA is filed under the name uncultured bacterium. RNAcentral describes it as "bacterial SSU rRNA". It matches the Rfam family "Bacterial small subunit ribosomal RNA", at positions 28 to 1381 of the family's 1533-position model. The record is from RNAcentral.